GUGGGGAAUAUUGGACAAUGGGCGAAAGCCUGAUCCAGCCAUGCCGCGUGUGUGAAGAAGGUCUUCGGAUUGUAAAGCACUUUAAGUUGGGAGGAAGGGCAUUAACCUAAUACGUUAGUGUUUUGACGUUACCGACAGAAUAAGCACCGGCUAACUUCGUGCCAGCAGCCGCGGUAAUACGAAGGGUGCAAGCGUUAAUCGGAAUUACUGGGCGUAAAGCGCGCGUAGGUGGUUCGUUAAGUUGGAUGUGAAAGCCCCGGGCUCAACCUGGGAACUGCAUCCAAAACUGGCGAGCUAGAGUACGGUAGAGGGUGGUGGAAUUUCCUGUGUAGCGGUGAAAUGCGUAGAUAUAGGAAGGAACACCAGAGGCGAAGGCGACCACCUGGACUGAUACUGACACUGAGGUGCGAAAGCGUGGGGAGCAAACAGGAUUAGAAACCCUGGUAGUCC
RNAcentral lists this ribosomal RNA (450 nucleotides) under uncultured bacterium. RNAcentral's name for it is "bacterial SSU rRNA". It matches the Rfam family "Bacterial small subunit ribosomal RNA", at positions 354 to 796 of the family's 1533-position model. The record is from RNAcentral.